CCAAGACUGGCCAAACAAAAUCUACAUGUCCUCAUGAGUGUUGGCUGGACUUGCUGUCAAACUCACAUCCAGUUUUCAUGCUUCGUAGAAAGGCUGCAAGAGCACAUACUAUUUUGAUAUUUUAAGGGUUAUGACAUAUUGAGGAGCAUGGACCGUGGAACAAUGCAAAACAGCGAUUUGUCCCUUGAGAAUUGUGACAUUGACAUUUUGGACAACGGAAGGACCAUUAAAGACGUCAUAGACAGUAAAAUAAAAGAGCUGGGCUUUGUGGACAAUGGUUCUAUGUGGCAGAUCUAGACAGCGUGUACAGAGGCACCUCGAUGGCUCACCAACUACUCUGAGUCAAGCCUUUCUAUGCGGUGAAGUGCAACAACAGCGGUAGUUUGAGGAUGAUGCGGCUCUGGACACAGGCUUGGACUGUUCAGCAAGGCCGAGAUCCAGAUGGCCCUGUCCCUCGGAGUGACACCCGAUAAAAUAAUUUUCGCACAUACAACCAAACCAAUGUCGCACAUCAAAUACGCCUGUGCUCAUGGAGUAGACGUGAUGACUUUUGAUAGUGAGGAUGAACUCCUGAAAAUGUCUCUCUGUCACCCCAAAGCCAAACUGGUACUCCGCAUCGCAGUGGAUGACUCCGAAUCGCUGAUACAACUCAGUUCCAAGUUCGGAGCCCAACUGGCGUCAGUCGGCAGCUGG
Molecule: long non-coding RNA, 693 nt
Organism: Etheostoma spectabile (orangethroat darter)
Lineage: Eukaryota; Metazoa; Chordata; Actinopteri; Perciformes; Percidae
Exons: 5
Source: RefSeq, a predicted model, not a curated record